RNAcentral lists this unclassified non-coding RNA (520 nucleotides) under Hevea brasiliensis (rubber tree). The record is from RNAcentral. Lineage: Eukaryota; Viridiplantae; Streptophyta; Magnoliopsida; Malpighiales; Euphorbiaceae.
GAUUUUUUUACCAUUGGCUCAUCUAAGAGAUUCUUUAAUCUCAAAAACUGGUUUUUGUUAACUAUCCUUGAAAUUGAAUGUGAUUCUUUUGGAUUUUCUCCAAGCAUUUUUGGAAUCCCAAGUUUAAUCAACUUUACCAGUUCGUUGACAAAUGUAUUGUCGACGAGGAUAUAAUCAAUCCCAAUACAUGCUUGGCCAGCGCAACUUCCAAAUUUUCCAGAAAGAAUUCUUUUCAUUGCAAUCUUUUUAUCCCAAGAACUUGAGAGUGAAUCAAUGAUAGCAGGGCAUUUUCCCCCCAAUUCAAGGGUCACUGGAGUCAAAUGCUUGGCUGCAGCACCCAUAACAAUUUGAGCCACUUUUGGACUCCCUGUAAAGAAAAUCUUGUCCCAUUUUUGUUGCAACAAUUUGUCACCAACUGUAUAAUCACCUUCAAUGACUUUAAUAGCUUUGUUAUCCAAAUAAUUGGGAAUUAUUUUGGCUAACACUGAUGAAGAUGCUGGAGCCUGAUCUGAAGGUUUCA